CCUACGGGAGGCAGCAGUGAGGAAUAUUGGUCAAUGGGCGCGAGCCUGAACCAGCCAAGUAGCGUGAAGGAUGACUGCCCUACGGGUUGUAAACUUCUUUUAUAAAGGAAUAAAGUGAGGCACGUGUGCCUUUUUGUAUGUAAUUUAUGAAUAAGGAUCGGCUAACUACGUGCCAGCAGCCGCGGUAAUACGGAGGAUCCGAGCGUUAUCCGGAUUUAUUGGGAUUAAAGGGAGCGUCGAUGGGUUGUUAAGUCAGUUGUUAAAGUUUGCGGCUCAACCGUAAAAUUGCAAUUGAUACUGGCAGCCUUGAGUACAGUUGAGGUAGGCGGAAUUCGUGGUGUAGCGGUUAAAUGCUUAGAUAUCACGAAGAACUCCGAUUGCGAAGGCAGCUUACUAAACUGCCACUGACAUUGAUGCUCGAAAGUGUGGGUAUCAAACAGGAUUAGAUACCCUAGUAGUC
RNAcentral lists this ribosomal RNA (460 nucleotides) under uncultured bacterium. Its description in RNAcentral is "partial 16S ribosomal RNA". It matches the Rfam family "Bacterial small subunit ribosomal RNA", at positions 338 to 795 of the family's 1533-position model. The record is from RNAcentral.